GUCUAUGGCCAUACUACGCUCAACAAGGCAGAUUCCGUCUGAUCUAGGAAACUAAGCAGGGUCGGGCCUGGUUAGUACUUGGAUUGGAGACCACCUAGGAAGGCCAGGUGCUGUAGGUG
Pteropus vampyrus (large flying fox) is the source of this 119-nucleotide ribosomal RNA. The record is from Ensembl. Lineage: Eukaryota; Metazoa; Chordata; Mammalia; Chiroptera; Pteropodidae.